This 8107-nucleotide long non-coding RNA is filed under the name Sus scrofa (pig). Its description in RNAcentral is "lncRNA (ENSSSCG00065056601.1)". The record is from RNAcentral. Lineage: Eukaryota; Metazoa; Chordata; Mammalia; Artiodactyla; Suidae.
UUUUUUUUUUUUUUUCCGCUUUUUAGGGCCACACUUGUGGCAUAAGAAAGUUCCCAGGCUACGGGUCGAAUCAGAGCUGCAGCUGCUGGCCUAGGCCACAGCCACAGCAAUGGGGGAUCCAAGCCACAUCUGUGACUACAACACAGUUCACAGCAACGCCAGAUCCUAAACCCACUGAGCAAGGCCAGGGAUUGACCUACAUCCUCAUGGAUACUAGUGGGGUUCAUUGCCGCUGAGUCACGACAGGAAAGGUCCCAUAGUCAACUUUUCAAUGCAAGAUUUAAUAAAUAGGGAACUACAAGACAUGGGCUGUAACUGAAGCUGAAUUUCACUACUAUCCCAGGGCUUCUGUAUACAUUUUCAAAAAGACUUAAAGAAGACAACUGAUUUGGUGGGAGUCGCAUUUAACAAAUCCUAUUUAAAUAUAUCCCCCUGCUCUCACUUCCCACCAAAAGGUACUGUAAAGGUAUUGCUUCAGUUGACAAGUUAAGGAUUUGCGUGUUCAGAGGGGAAAUCUUACCUUUCUCUAAAAGUAAAAAGCUUCAGAAAGUUAUAUAAAGGGAAAAAGUAAGAAAAGUAGAAACUCAAGUGUUUGGGCAAAAUAUUUCAGAAAUCCUCAUGGGCGCAUUUCUGAGAAUACUGUCCAUCUACUGUAAAGCUAAUAAGGGGAUAAUAAAAGUGAAAACAUUUCAUAGCACAUUAUAAAGGAAAAUACACCUAGGAAUACUAAAUUGGGUUCCUGAUGAAUCCUAAAGUUACUCAAAUUAAGAAAGCAUUUUAUUAGGCAUUGCCUUAAACCAUAUAACUGCUUUAAACCAAAUUUUACUGACUGGCGAUUUAAAUCAUGAUUAAAAAUAAAUUUAAAUGAAAUCCAUCCAAAUUCUAGUAUUAAGGAAGAUUUAAAAUCAAUAGUACAUCUCCAAAGAAUACAUACAGAUGGCCAGUAGGCAUAUGGGAAUAUGCUCAACAUCACUAAUUAUUAGAGAAAUGCAAUUCAAAAAUAUAAUGAGGCACCCCCUCAUACCAGUCAGACUAGCCUUCAUUACUAUAAUAAGUGUUGCAGAGGCUGUGGAGAAAAGGGAACCUCCUACACUGUUGGUAGGAAUGUAAACUGGUACAACCACUAUGGAAAACAGUAUGGAAGUUCCUCAGAAUACUUAAUAUAGAACUACCAUAUGAUCCAGCAAUCCCACUCCUGGGCAUAUAUCCAGACAUAACUACAAUUCAAAAAGAUACAUGCUCCCAUGUUUGUAUCAGCACUAUUUACAAUAGCCAAGACAUGAAAACAAUCUAAACAUUCAUCAGCAGAUGAAUGGAUUAAGAAGAUGUGAUACAUAUAUACAAAGGAAUAAUACUCAGCCCCCCCAAAAAGAACACAAUAAUACCAGUUGCAGCAACAUGGAUGCAACUAGAGAUGAUCAUACUAUAUUUCUAUAUUCAAUAUAACAUGAUGGAAGAUAAUAUGAGAAAAAGGAGUUCCUGUUGUGGCUCAGCAGUAACGAACCCAACUAGUAUCUACGACAAGGCAGGUGCACUCCCUGGCCUCACUCAGUGGGUUAAGGAUCUGGCAUUGCCAUAAGCUGCAGUAUCACAGGCACAGCUUGGAUCCCAUAUUACUAUGGCUGUCCAGUAGGCUAGCAGCUACAGCAGCAAUACAACCCCUAGCCUGGGAACUUCCAUAUGCCUCGGUGUAGUCCUAAAAGGACCAGGAAAAAAAAAAAAAAAAAAAAAAAGAAAAGAAAAAGAAAAAAAAAGAAAAAAGGAAAAAGAAAAAGGGAGUGUGUGUGUGUGUGUGUGUGUGUGUGCAUGAGUGCAUGACUGGGACACUUUGCUGUACAGCAGAAAUUGACACAACAUUGUAAAUCAAUUAUACUUUAAUGAAAAAAGAAAUGAAAUCAAUAAUAGAGUGUCACUGGUGGUAUUGAUAUUUAUUCCCAAGUAAUUUUUCAAAUAAGUCUAUAAAAGAUGUUCUUUAGAAGUCAAUUAUACUUCCUGGAGUUUGACUUAAAGUUUCUGAAGAAGGCUCAAUAAGAUACAAAUAAAUCCACAAAAGACUCAGAGGGGUAUACAAUGUUCACAAUCAUCAAAUCAAACUGUAAUUAUGAGAUGCCAUGGCAAGUUUUGUAUUUCUGAUUUUUGACUAUCAAUAAAAGGUUGCUCAACAAAAUGACGUUGUUAAAUGUCCAAUUUCAACUUCAUAACUCUAUUAUUAAUAAAACUUGUUUUCAUAUUGCAAAGAUAUGUCCUUAUAAAAGAAAUAUACUUAUCUAAUGAUGUAAUAAAUAUGUGUUUUGCAAAUUUGGAGACAAAAAUAAUAAAAACAAAAUCUGUAUCAAUGUUUAAAAAAUUAAUAUUCUUAGAAACCAAGUUUUAGAAAUGUAAAAUGUUAAAAAUUAAAAUUAUUACAUCAGAGUUGCCGUCGUGGCUCAGUGGCUAAUGAAUCCAACUAGGAACCAUAGGUUGAGGGUUCGAUCCCUGGCCUUGCUCAGUGGGUUAAGGAUCUGGCAUUGCCGUGAGCUGUGCUGUAAGUUGCAGACACGGCUCAGAUCCCACGUUGCUGUGGCUCUGGCAUAGGCCGGAAGCUACAGCUCCAAUUCGACCCCUAUCCUGGGAAACUCCAUAUGCCGCGGGAGCAGCCCAAGAAAAUGACAAAAAGACAAAAAGACAAAAAAAAAAAAAAAUUAAAAAAGAAAAAAUAAAUUAAAUUAAAUAAAAUCAUUACAUCUUGAUAAAAUCUAAGAUAAGGCUUGGUCAGUGACUUUCUCAUAUUAAUCUUUCACUCAGUGCCAUAAGAAAAGACAUCUUCUAAUCCCCACAAACUACUGCUAUCCUUCUAGUUUAUAUUGUCUUCCCUAUACAUUGUAAGACAAAUCCUAAUUAUAAUCAUUCAAAUGUUCCAGGAAUUUCCAGAACUGUAUUCAAUCGGCUGCUAUUUUUAAAAGGUUUUUCAGAAUUGUCUACUUUUUUUCUCAAAAGACUAAUAAAAAAAAAAACUCUUCCUCAUUAUGAGGCUAAUUAAAUAAUACCUGCUUGAGCAUUCCUUUCUCACCUGUUUUAAUUUUUCCCAAUUUAUAAACUACUCCUUUACUAUUGUUGUACUUAACGUUCCAUAUUUUGUACUUCAGAAAUGUAUGCUUUAUAUUCUAUCAAUAUUUAUAAAUAUUGAUAUUUUCAAACAGGUUUGAUAAAAACAAAGAUUGUUAUGAAUUGGACUUCCCCUUGUGCCACAGCAGAAACAAAUCUGACUAGGUUGCAGGUUCGAUCCCUGGCCUCGCUCAAUGGGUUAAGGAUCCAGCGUUGCUGUGAGCUGUGGCUUAGGUUGCAGACGUGGCUCGGACCUGGCGUUGCUAUGGCUGUGGUGCAGGCCAGCAGCUGUAGCUCCAAUUAGACCCCUAGCCUGGGAACCUUCAUAUGCCACAGGUGCGGCCCUAAAAAGCAAAAAAAAAAAAAAAAAAAAAAAAACUGAUUGCUACAAAUAGAGAAGCAAAAUCACAUGGGAUGUUAUUUUCCCUUAUGUGAGAAAGCAUCUAGGUUAUUUAGCACAAGCUAAAAUAACUAUUAUUGGGUCAUACUAUCACGAUUAACUAAUUCAUAAAUCCUAGUUAAAUCAUUUGUGAAUCUUUUUUUCCUUUCUCUAUACCUACAAUUGUUCUUAAGAAAAAUAAAAAUUAGAAAGAGCUAUUGAGACCAUCAUAGAAAUAAAUUUAAUUAAGGCCUAGAAAUUUUUUGUGGUUUUAUUAAAUAAAAUUAAAAAUAAUUCUAAAACAGAUGAAAUGCUGAUGUGGGAAAGUAAGGAAGAGAGAGGAAGAAAGGGAGAAAUCAAAAUUUACUGACAGACUUCUGACCUGAUCAGAGAUAAAUAAGGCACAGAAAAUUCUUACCCUUUUCUUUAUUUUUAGGAAAGUUUAGGCAAAUAGCAUGUCACUUGAUCUCAAAAACUACAUAUCAUCAUCAACAAUUAUGGAUUACAAAAGAAGUAAGGAUAGUGUACUAUUAAGAGUCAAGGUGCUGUUGUCAGUGUACUUGAAUUAGUAGCCUGACCACCAUUUUUUAUGAGCUCUAUGAUCACGUCUUUAUUUUUAUAAAUGGGAUAAUAAAAGCACCUAUUUAAUUCAGUUAUUAUGAAAAUUAAUGAGAUAAUACAUGACAAAUGUUUAGCAAAAUUUCUGAUACUUAGAAAGUAUAUUUUAAAUGUUAUAUGAUUAUCAUUUUACCCACUGUUAAGUAGAGCAUUUUAUUCAAACCUCAUAUAGACCUGAUCAUAAAAUUACUCUACUUGAGACUUCAUUGACAUCUCAUAGCCUUUAUAUUUAUUUAUCUUUUUUCUUUUUAGGGCUGCACCUGCAGGCUAGUUCCCAGGCUAGAGGUUGAAUCAGAGCCACAGCUGCUGGCCUAUGCCACAGCCACAGCAACACAGGAUCCAAGCGGCAUCUGCAACCUACACUGCAGCUCACAGCAAAACCAGAUCCUUAACCAAUGAGGGAGGCCAGGGAUGAAAACCACAUCCUCAUGGAUCCUAGUCAGGUUCUUAACCCAUUGAACCACAAUGGGAACUCCAAAGACUUUAGAAUUAACUCUAAACUCCUUCACAAAACAUUAAAGAUACUCUGAUAAUCACCUCUCAUCAUUAUUCCUCUUCUUCUCUAAACCAAUCCUCAUUAGACUUCAAUUCCCCAAAUAUGCCACAGCCACCCUGCUUUCCUCCAAGUAGUUCCAUAUCAUGUUCAUUUUAUAUACAAUAUUCUUUACUAUCUUGUCCUUCCUUCAACUUAUAAACAUCUCUUCUUCCUAGAGCCUGUCCCUAACAUGCUGAAUAGUCUAUGUCAACUAUCGUAAUGCUCAUGAAAAUAUCUUGCAGUGAGAAUGCAUGAAGUCUGAGGGUAAAACCCAACUGAAUGCUGAAACUGGCUUGUUGGAAGGAUGCGUCCAUUUUUGUAAAUAAACUUUUAUUGGAAUACAGCCAUGCCAUUCAUUAGUAUUAUCUAUGGCUGCCUUCAUGCUAAUAGGGCAGAGUGCAGUAGUUGCAACAGAAACAUAUGGCCCAGAAGACCCGAAUUAUUUACUAUGUAGCUCCUUAUGAAAAGUUUGACGCUCCUGGUUUAAGCUCCAUCUAGCUAGGUUUUCUUACAUACACACACACACACACACACACACACACACACACACACACACAUAUAGCCAAAAGUAUCCUAAUUCAUAUGAAUUAGUUUCUUAUUGAAACAUUCAUGGAUUUCACUGUGAUUACUUAUCUAUCUUUCCUUCUAUAUAUGCUUAUUUUGCCAUUUGCAUGAAAUCUCUAAGUAGUACUGGCCUGCCAUUAUGUCCCUAUUACCUAACAUAAUAGUUAACAAAUAGAAAGCAUUCAAAUAUUGUCUGCUUGGUUUUCUGGCUGCAUCCAAGCAUGUGGAAGCUCCCCCAGGAUAGGGAUCUAACCUGAGCCACAGCAGUGACAAUGAGCCACAGCAGUGACAAUGCCAAAUCCUUAACCACUAGGCCAGAAAGGAACUCUCUUUUUAUUUUCUUGAGCAUUCAAAUAUUGUUGACUGAACAAGUGACCAAGUGAAUGAAUAAGCAUAACUGAAAUAUCCAAUAAAUAUUUAUUAAUAAUUUACAUGUGCAUUAGGUACCCUUAGUGAUACAAAAGAGCAUAAGACAUAUUCUCUGCCUCGAAUGGCUUUAAAAAUCAGGUUUAGGAAAUAAACAUGUAAGCUGUAAAAAAUACCUUUAUCUAACUAUAAGUUAUUUCUGGAACAAAGCAGGGUACAUCUGUCAUAUAUAAAUACUGCCACAUUAAAUGCAUAUAUCGACUCCCCCAAAUUCUGAUUUUACAUCAUCCCAAAAGGUAUAAAUUUGUGUGUCCUCACCCCUAACCAGUAGGGAGGCACGGUGACAUAACACCAUCCUGUGUAUGGUCCACUAAAAACAUGGGGAUGACUGAAUCAGGCUACCCACAGCUUCUUGGCAUCAAUACUCAAGACACUUCAACUGAUACCUCUUGUUUUGACCUUGUUCGUUGCCUUUAUUGAGGUUUUAAAAAAUAGACAAAUACAACAUUAUUAUCUUGUAAACCCGUCAUCCAGGAAUCUAUCCCUUGAACAUAAUCAACUCUGACUGAUGUAAGAAUCUAACCUAUAAAGCUGUCCCAGACCUUCAAGAUUAAUGUCACCUUUCCUGAAACCACCCAACCUCCCUUCUUAAUGUUCUCAUUACCCCUACCUUUAAAAUGCCCCACAUAAUGCCUUAUAUAAUAUCAACUUUGUACAAAUAUGUAAAUACUAUUCUAAAAAAGUAAAAUUUGGGAGUUCCCCUCGUGGCUCAGUGGUAAUGAAUCCAACUAGUAUCCAUAAGGACAUGGGUUCAAUCCCUGGCUUUGCUCACUGGGUUAAGGAUCUGGCAUCGCUAUGAGCUGUGGUACAGGUCACAGAUGCAGCUCAGAUUCUGCACUGCUGUGGCUGUGAUGUAAGCCAGCAGCUAUAGCUCCAAUUCAACCGCUAGUCUGGGAACUUCCAUAUGCUGUGGGUACAGCCCCAAAAAGACAAAAAAAUAAAAAAUAAAAUAAAAUAGUAAAAUUUGGUCAAAUAGAAAGCAAAUAUUUAAUGACAGUAAAAAUUAUAGUCACCUCAAAUAGUCAUAUAAUAUCUAAAGUAUAAACCAAAAGAGGCAGAAAAGAAAGGAGCAAGGCAUUUCCUUGACUGACAAUUUAUUCAUACUUAGUCCAUAUUUUCCAGUUUCAGAAACCUACUUUUCAUUCUCCUGAUUUUCUCCCUUUAUCAACAGAUUUCCCCCAUACACUCUGUGAUCCUCAUUCUAUUCUACCAACUCUAGCUAGGUCAGCCUUCCUAGCCUUAAAGCCAGAUAUCCAAACCUAUCUACUCUCUUACAAGAUUCAACAUCCUUAAAACUACCAAGACAGAACUCAGAAUUCUGCAGGACGACAACUGCUCAAUGUGCAUUAAUGGUUGUGGGGUGCCAGGGGAAAGAAUGUAAUAAUGUUACACUCUUACAAAAUCCACCACACACUUAACAUUUUAAAGAAUGUGUAAAAGCCAACAACCCAGGCAGUUUUAUAUAAUAUCACUGUAAAUGUAGAUAAAAAUAAACACAUAGACAACUGUGAAAAAGAGAAGAAUGAGAAGGAUUCCAUUGCCUUCUAAAAACUUAAUGUUUCAUAGAAUCAAGAUCUCAAGGAACCAUUUCCAAGAUCUUGGUAAGCUCUUCAAUUUAACACUGAAAAGUGAUAUACUAAAGAUAAACACUUUUGUAUUGAGUAUUAAGGUGAACAUAUACAGGGUGUUGAAAGACUAACAAAAGAAGAUAAAUUCCUAGGAGUUAAUAUUUCAUAGAAUAAAAGACAUCAAUGUCAGUUUUGAAUAAAACAAACAAGAAGCUGUAAUUUAAAGUUACUAAACAAAAUUUUGUUUCAUUUUAACAUCUUAUAAUUAAACAAACUGUUAUGAGUGGACUUCAACCUCCAAAUGGACAGAGCUAGAAUAACUUUCAAUGUUAUCGAUUCCCCAAAAAAAGAAAUUCUGGGUCUCAUAUUCACAGAUACUCAGACACUCACACCAACACACACAUAUAACUUUUUUUUUCAAUGUUACGGUAAUUACUUAAUGCUUUGUAGGGUCUUCUUGAAACUGUACUUUUAACCAAGACAAUUUAUAUAUCAUUCCUUCUAAAUUCAUUCUUAUGUCUAUCCAGCUUCAACAUAUACCUUAAUAUUGACCAAGUCUUCAUUCUGUAUUGAAAGAGGUCUAGCCAGUAGUAAAUCACGUGGCUCCCUCUCCUUGUUCCAUCUUUAUCCCUUUCCCUUAACAGUUUUACAGUAAGCAAACAGACAUCUUUAAUCACAAGGAGUGGUUAACGAAUCCGACUAGGAACCAUGAGGUUGCGGGUUCGGUCCCUGCCCUUGCUCAGUGGGUUAACGAUCCGGCGUUGCCGUGAGCUGUGGUGUAGGUUGCAGACGCGGCUCGGAUCCCGCGUUGCUGUGGCUCUGGCGCAGGCUGGUGGCUACAGCUCCGAUUCGACCCCUAGCCUGGGAACCUCCAUAUGCCGCAGGGGCGGCCCAAGAAAUAGCAAAAAAAAAAAAGACAAAAAAAAAAAAAAA